AACAGCAAUUCCAGUUUUCAAUGAUUACAUGGUGCUGAUCACCUUUGCGUCUCUGUGUUGUUGUUAUCCACUUGGUUGUUUUGCACGCCUAAUAUCACGUCAGGCAAGACAUCAUUACAACGCAGGUGACUAUGAAAGUGCCAUGAAAUCAGCAAAAAUGGCCAACAGAUUGGCUAUCGCUUGUAUAGUUCUCGGAACGAUUCUUCUUAUUUCAGCUGCUAUAG
Molecule: long non-coding RNA, 224 nt
Organism: Xenia sp. Carnegie-2017
Lineage: Eukaryota; Metazoa; Cnidaria; Anthozoa; Malacalcyonacea; Xeniidae
Exons: 2
Source: RefSeq, a predicted model, not a curated record